Molecule: transfer RNA, 71 nt
Filed under: Marmota marmota marmota (Alpine marmot)
Lineage: Eukaryota; Metazoa; Chordata; Mammalia; Rodentia; Sciuridae
Also listed under: 1 other name
Rfam family: tRNA
About the family: Transfer RNA (tRNA) molecules are approximately 80 nucleotides in length. Their secondary structure includes four short double-helical elements and three loops (D, anti-codon, and T loops).
Source: Rfam by way of RNAcentral
GUGGCUGUGGCUCAGUGGUGGAGCACUUGCCUAGCAUGUAUGAGGCCCUGGGUUCGAUCCUCAGCACUGCA